CUACGUAGGGGGCGAGCGUUGUCCGGAAUGAUUGGGCGUAAAGGGCGCGUAGGCGGCCCGGUAAGUCUGGAGUGAAAGUCCUGUUUUUAAGAUGGGAAUUGCUUUGGAUACUGUCGGGCUUGAGUGCAGGAGAGGUAAGUGGAAUUCCCAGUGUAGCGGUGAAAUGCGUAGAGAUUGGGAGGAACACCAGUGGCGAAGGCGACUUACUGGACUGUAACUGACGCUGAGGCGCGAAAGUGUGGGGAGCAAACAGGAUUAGAUACCCUGGUAGUCCACACUGUAAACGAUGAAUGCUAGGUGUAGGGGGUAUCGACCCCUUCUGUGCCGCAGUCAACACAAUAAGCAUUCCGCCUGGGGAGUACGGCCGCAAGGCUAAAACUCAAAUGAAUUGACGGGG
Molecule: ribosomal RNA, 397 nt
Filed under: uncultured bacterium
Lineage: Bacteria
Description: partial 16S ribosomal RNA
Rfam family: Bacterial small subunit ribosomal RNA
Source: RNAcentral